CCAAAGGCUCUUUUCAGAGCCCCCCCACCAAUUCAAUAGAAGAGCU
This is a non-coding RNA of Ailuropoda melanoleuca (giant panda), 46 nucleotides long. The record is from Rfam. Lineage: Eukaryota; Metazoa; Chordata; Mammalia; Carnivora; Ursidae.